RNAcentral lists this transfer RNA (81 nucleotides) under Spiromyces aspiralis. RNAcentral describes it as "tRNA-Ala". Lineage: Eukaryota; Fungi; Kickxellomycota; Kickxellomycetes; Kickxellales; Kickxellaceae. The record is from RNAcentral.
GAGGGGGUGGCAUGGUGGUCGAGUGGUCAAAGGCGCUUGCACCUAGACCCUCUGGCCCAGGUUCAAUUCCUGGCCUCCCCA